AAAGAAAGAAAGAAAGAAAGAAAGAAAGAAAGAAAGAAAGAAAGAAAGAACGAACGAACGAACGAACUACAAAGGAACACCAGGUUCCCUUUGGUCUAUGAACUCCGCCCUCCAGGUAACCUCGUGAACACGCCACGUCGUCGCGGUCUCCUGCAUCCCUCACCGGCUAGCUGGCGGCACGCUCGACCUCCCUCUGCCCGGCUCGGAGGACUGAGGAUCGGAGCCCCGCGGCGCAUGCGUGGGGAAGCCAGGGCUUCGAGGUGGGGGGGCGUUGCCACGAGGGGGCCCCCGGGUGAGGAUCCACCGGAAAGGACCCCUGUCGGACGAAGGAACCAGGAGAGGGUCCACGCGGGAGAAGGGGUUACGGUCGGUCCCUCCCUCUAAGGUUCCAGAUUUGGUAAAUACAGGACGCCCAGUACAA
Long non-coding RNA from Suricata suricatta (meerkat), 421 nucleotides. RefSeq lists it as uncharacterized. The transcript has 2 exons. The record is from RefSeq and is a predicted model, not a curated record. Lineage: Eukaryota; Metazoa; Chordata; Mammalia; Carnivora; Herpestidae.